RNAcentral lists this long non-coding RNA (2502 nucleotides) under Venturia canescens. RNAcentral describes it as "uncharacterized LOC122415959, transcript variant X3". The record is from RNAcentral. Lineage: Eukaryota; Metazoa; Arthropoda; Insecta; Hymenoptera; Ichneumonidae.
UGUACUUUUUUAGACCAAUGCCUGGUCGUAUAAUCCGCUAGGGUUAUGGCGAGUGUGUAUAUGGUGAUUUUAUAAUUACGCAAGAUGGCGUUGAUAACCGGUUUGUCAGUGGCGAUAAUGGGUAAGACUGUACACCGAACUUCCCUCUUUCAUAUAUCGACGAACCAAGGCUCGAUCGAAGACGAAAAACCUUUCGUGAACAAUUUACCAGUUUUUGGUCGAAGGUACGGACCAACUACCGUGCCUAAAAAUUUAGAACUUCUGUGGAAUCCCUGUGUAGUAUGGGUUUGGGUUAAUCGAACACGAACCGUUAUAACUGCAACGAUCAUCUACCGCUUGGGUGCCCCUACUCCGCUGAAAAACAUACGACCCCGAACCGUUGAUGUGAAGAAAAAACGAAAUGGCGUCUUGGAAUUAUAUAUAUUUUGACCACGAUACCGAAUCGCAUUGGUGCGCUAUAUGCGACUGCUAUAUGAGCAGCGAAAUAUCCUCUAAUGAACAUGUCGACGGAGCUCGACACGGCCGAGCUGUCAAACGUUACGGCACGUCAAUCAUUUCCCAUGGGAGCAGUAAAUAUUACUGCGAAUCAUGCGACUGUUGGAUACAGUCAACAACGAAUAUUCUUCAACACGUCAAAGGUCAACGUCAUCAAGAUGCCUUGGAAGCCACUGACUCCGAGGACGAAGAAGAUCUCGAUCCUUACGAAUUCAUCAUCGAUGAGGGCAACGAAAAUAAAUAUUGUUAUCUUUGCAACGUGAACAUCUCCGGCGAAGCAAUGUUUCAUUUUCAUGCUCGAAAUCAACAACACAAAGAAGCCAUUGAAAGAUAUGGCUAUGACAUAAUCGAAUCGAAGUACAGCUGGUACGAAUGCGAGUUGUGUGAAUGUAAAAUCAGCGGAUAUCAAAAUAUAUAUCAACACAUUACGGGUCGUACGCACACCGAAAAUCUCGAGGACUACUCUGACUCUGACUGAUUUGUUUCUACGAAAUCAAUGACAUUUUCACUUCUUUUAAACAUACAUUUAUGAUAAAAUUAUUUUAUCUUUCGCGUGUAGAACUUGGUUUGUUCCAUGGCGAAAACAAAACAAAAACAAUUGCACAGUUUUAUCAUUAUUCGAUAUAGGUUUUAGAUUUUUAAUUUUCAUCCUGAGGAUUUAUUUGAUCGCACGUCUUUUUAGUGUACGUUAUUUGUGAGGUUAAGAUUCCCUCGAUAAUAAGAAUUUAAAACAAGGAUGCAAAAAAGGCAAUUGUACGGAUUCUCAUAAGCUGUGUGCAACCUGUGGCGUUAUUUUCAUUACUGACCUUUACAAAUACAAACUUUGUUCUCCUUUUUACGAGGAAUCGAAACUUAUUAAAAUAUUAUGGAAUGUUUUCAUUCAGAGACGUUGCUGGAGUAGCUUGAUAAGUGCCAUAUGUUUGAAUAGUUUAAUUCUAUACCUACUUUUUGUUUCAAGAUAAAGUAAAUAGUGUCUCUAUUGAUUUCUAUGAAUAUUCACAAAAUUCAUUUCCAUGCGAGAUGUAUUAUUUGUUCCCCCGCAUAACGUUUAUUUGGUGAACGAGCUUGUGAAAUCCGAUUGGAAAUAAUUCUGUGAAUGAUGAACAUUCAACUCAAAUAAACUGAAUUUUGUGGUUUUGAGUUUUCUGUAAAUUCCAAAAAAAUUAACAAGCGCAGUCACACUGUUCAAAAAUCCUUGUAACUAGAGAACCCAAGUAUUAAAUACCAAAAGAAGAGUAAAUAAAACUCGAAACUGAUAUACAUAUUUUUAAUAAGAGUUAAGAAAAUAACUAUUAAAAAUGAAAUAAUAGUUUUUCUACGUACAGUGUUGUAACAAAUAUUACAAAUAUCAAGAGAAAAGAGUGAUAUAUUUUUAUUUCCAAUCUUAUAAUAGUUUGGCUGCUUAUGGAUGCUAUGACAUGAAUGAAGAUAAAAUAAAUUAUUGGUAUUAUUACGUUCUUCGCCGAUUUUUUAUCUGAUAGCACACACCACGAGAUGGCGAUCCCUGCCGAUUGUACAGUGGUACAGUCAAUAAAAUCUAGAUUACGGGUAUCUCUAAUCAUUUCCGGAACCCCGGAACCUUCUUUGAUGGAGACGUCAUUGAAACUCCGAUCUCUCCGAUUGGUUAACAUCAGGGGGGGGGGGGGGCGUAACCACCAAUCAGUUUAUCAUAAGACUGUACCGAAUUUCGCUCUUUUGUUUUCCGGGACAAGAAUCGGAAGGUUUAUUCAGAGCCUAUUUAUUUUUUAUCUGGUUAAACUUGGAGGGUGCGUGAGAAAUAAAAAUUUAGAGAUCAAGCACAGACCCACCGAUAUAAAAAUUAUUAUCGGUAAGCACGUUGAGAAUCAUUUUAAAAACAAUUUGCUUCUUUGACAAUCGUUUGUUUUACUUCCUGAGAAAUGCUAGCUGGUACAUUCAACAAUGUAGUGUUAGGGGUCAUCGAUUUUUUUAUUCGUAUAAGAAUUCAUGUACACGUCAACUUGAAUAUAUAAUAAAUUUUUGAAUUUU